CCAUACAGGAGUAUGUACAUGUAUGAGCGCAUAAGAGGGGGGAGAGGGGGGCGUGAAGAGAGAAGGAAAGGAAGAGGGAGAGAAGGAGGCAAGGAGGGAGGAAGGGAAGGAAGGAGAGAGGGAGGAUGUGCAUUAUAUAACAGCUAUAGAGGUAAGAAGUCCCACGGGGUCUCACUGAACUAAAAUCAAAGCAGGUUCCACGAGGCUGCGGUUUUGUUUUUGUUUUUGUUUGUUUUUUAUGGAACUCUGAGGAGAAUCCAUUUCUACUCUUCCAGCUUCUGGAAGCCACUCACAUUUUCUGGCUCCAGCGCUCCUUCUUCCCUCUUUAAAUCCAACAGCUCCACAGAGUCCUCCUCCAGUCUCAUCUCUGUCCCUGACCACUGACUGAGAGGUUCUCUCCAUCCGGACUGGCCUGCCAGGAUGAAGGCGAGCAUUAUCCCCUCCAGGUUUGCCCCCGCCCCCAUCACACUCGAAGUUGUCUUUGCGAGAUAAGGUGUCCUGCCACACGCCUCAGAGUGGGAACGUCUAUCCCUCCAGGCCUUCCCCUUUCCUACUGCCUGGAAGGCCUUAACGCCAAAGCCAUUGCCUACAGCGAGAUUCUUACUUCCUUCUUCACAUUCAGCCUCUGUCGCAAGCUCAAGCUUCCGUCUCUAUGGCGACAGCUGACGCGGGAAGCAGGGCUGCAAAACUUGGACAGUACUCAGCACCUGCACCUGUGGGGUAGCCUGGGGUAGUCGGGGUUUCAAAGGUCCCAUGCGAGGACACUGCCCUCCCUCCCCACUCCACCCACACCCCUAGGACCUGCUCUGCGCUUCCCUGCCUCCAAGGUAACUGGGAUUCUCUGUGCCCCCUUGAGCUCUGACUCUCACCUCCUCUGACUGUGUCCUCGGUCCGUUUCCAGAGGGAGGGGCAGUCUCCAGAUGAGAUGAUAAAGCCUAGGCACGCAGAAAGGAAGUGGAAUCAAACACGGUAAAACAAUGCCGAGAGCAAAGGAAAGAAAACAAAAACCCAAGGGGGCUGCCCCUUCGGUGGUUCCCAUUCUUCAGAAGUUCCUGAAGACCUACCAGAAGCAUUGCAUACAGUCUCGGACCUCCAUGUGUCCAGCCAUCCAAAGGGACCUAAAGAGCAGCAUUGACAGAGAGCAGUUCCUCAGGAAGUUUAUGCUUGUGAGAGCUGGAAAUUCCGCAGUAAGCACUUUACCUGUCUCCUUGGAGCCUCUGCUUAUGACGAUCCGAGAUGAGAGCUACGCUCUGGCCAAAGAGAUCUGCAUCUGGGGCCUUCAGCUGACGAACCCGGAGAUCGCCAGGCUC
Molecule: long non-coding RNA, 1310 nt
Filed under: Rattus norvegicus (Norway rat)
Lineage: Eukaryota; Metazoa; Chordata; Mammalia; Rodentia; Muridae
Description: long non-coding RNA NONRATT033697
Source: RNAcentral